Molecule: ribosomal RNA, 460 nt
Filed under: uncultured bacterium
Lineage: Bacteria
Description: bacterial SSU rRNA
Rfam family: Bacterial small subunit ribosomal RNA
Source: RNAcentral
GACGAACGCUGGCGGCGUGCCUAACACAUGCAAGUCGAACGGAGUUGCCCUUCGGGACAACUUAGUGGCGAACGGGUGAGUAACGCGUGAGAAACCUGCCUUUCAGUGGGGGACAACAGUUGGAAACGACUGCUAAUACCGCAUAAUGUAUCGAGAGGGCAUCCUCUUGAUACCAAAGAUUUAUUGCUGAAAGAUGGUCUCGCGUCUGAUUAGCUAGUUGGUGAGGUAACGGCUCACCAAGGCGACGAUCAGUAGCCGGUCUGAGAGGAUGAACGGCCACAUUGGGACUGAGAUACGGCCCAGACUCCUACGGGAGGCAGCAGUGGGGAAUAUUGGGCAAUGGGCGAAAGCCUGACCCAGCAACGCCGCGUGAAGGAUGAAGGUUUUCGGAUUGUAAACUUCUUUUGUAGGGAACGAAUAAAUGACGGUACCCUGCGAAUAAGCCACGGCUAACUACGUG